GCUUCGGCGGCGACUUGGUCGAGUUCAAUUAUAGUUUGGAGGUUCGAGUCAGAGGAGGAGGAGGAGUCGAAGGGAGGAUGGGUGGUGCGGAGCUUGGUGAGCUUGUUUUUCCGGCGAGUUCGACGUCGUGGUUUAAAGCAGGAGAGAGUGGUGAAGAGUGGUGGGGAGUCCGGCAAGGAGAGACGGCGGAGGAAGUGGAGGUUAU
This 205-nucleotide unclassified non-coding RNA is filed under the name Hevea brasiliensis (rubber tree). The record is from RNAcentral. Lineage: Eukaryota; Viridiplantae; Streptophyta; Magnoliopsida; Malpighiales; Euphorbiaceae.